ACAGGAUUACCUGGGGAUCUUAUUAAAAUGCAGCUUCUGACUUAGCAGGACUGAGUCUCUGCAUCUCUAACAAGUUCCCAGGUGAUGCUGAU
Molecule: microRNA precursor, 92 nt
Filed under: Marmota monax (woodchuck)
Lineage: Eukaryota; Metazoa; Chordata; Mammalia; Rodentia; Sciuridae
Source: RNAcentral